RNAcentral lists this ribosomal RNA (551 nucleotides) under Dendarus sporadicus. RNAcentral's name for it is "partial large subunit ribosomal RNA". Lineage: Eukaryota; Metazoa; Arthropoda; Insecta; Coleoptera; Tenebrionidae. The record is from RNAcentral.
UGUAUCAGGGCUUAUUAAAUUAGGAUUAAGGCUUUAAUUGUCUCGAAUUUAAAAGAGCUAUAUUUAAAUAUAUCUUAAUGUUGAAUAAUUAUUUAUAAUUUAUAUAUAGUAAUGAAACGUUAUUCGUUUUUGAAUAUAUCUAGUUUUCCAAGAAAUUAAUUAAAUUUAGUAGCUAUUUAAUAUUUUUAUUAUUAAUUAUUUUGAUAUUAUUAGCUGGCAAUAUUCAAGGGGAUGAGCUUUUGGAUAAAUACUUAUAAGAUUUAUUUGUUUAAUAAUUUGUAGGAUUAGAAUUUUCCAUCUAUAGGAGGAUGUUAUAAUUUAUUAUUAUAUAAUAUGAUUUUUAUUGUCUUUAGGUUGUUUAUUGGGAUAAUAACAUUAAUUGUUUUUGUUAUGGAAUAAUGAUAGGAUUAGUAUAAUUAACUGUAUUAUUGAAUUGCUAUGAGAGGUUAUAAUAAGGAACUCGGCAAUCUAAUUUUCACCUGUUUAAUAAAAACAUGGCCUUUUGAGUAUGAUUUAAGGUCUUACCUGCCCAAUGAUUUUUCAAUGGCCGC